CCCUUAGAUGUUCUGGGCUGCACGCGUGCUACAAUGGCGUUUCCAGCAAGUCUGCGAACCCGAGAGGGCCAGCGGAUCUUCGAAUUGGCGUCGUGAUCGGGACAGUCGAUUGCAAUUAUUUGACUCAAACGAGGAAUUCCUUGUAAUCGCGAUUCAUCAUAUCGCGCUGAAUACGUCCCUGCCCUUUGUACACACCGCCCGUCGCUCCUACCGAUUGAGCGAUCCGGUAAAUGUUUUGGAUUGGUGCCGGGGCGGCUAGCUGCCGGUCGCUACGAAAUUUUGUGAACCUUAUCAUUUAGAGGAAGGUGAAGUCGUAACA
Molecule: ribosomal RNA, 319 nt
Filed under: uncultured eukaryote
Lineage: Eukaryota
Description: partial 18S ribosomal RNA
Rfam family: Eukaryotic small subunit ribosomal RNA
Source: RNAcentral